GGAGCAUGCGGCUUAAUUCGACGCAACGCGAAGAACCUUACCAAGGCUUGACAUAUACAGGAAUAUGGCAGAGAUGUCAUAGCCGCAAGGUCUGUAUACAGGUGGUGCAUGGUUGUCGUCAGCUCGUGUCGUGAGAUGUUGGGUUAAGUCCCGCAACGAGCGCAACCCUCGUUCUGUGUUGCCAGCAUUUAGUUGGGGACUCACAGGAGACUGCCGGGGUUAACUCGGAGGAAGGUGGGGAUGACGUCAAAUCAUCAUGCCCCUUAUGUCUUGGGCUGCACGCAUGCUACAAUGGCUGGUACAAACGGCUGCGAUACCGCAAGGUGGAGCGAAUCCGAUAAAGCCAGUCUCAGUUCGGAUUGGGGUCUGCAACUCGACCCCAUGAAGUCGGAGUUGCUAGUAAUCGUAGAUCAGCAACGCUACGGUGAAUACGUUCCCGGGGCUUGUACACACCGCCCGUCACAUCACGAAAGUCGGUAACACCCAAAGUUAGU
This 494-nucleotide ribosomal RNA is filed under the name uncultured Actinomycetes bacterium. Its description in RNAcentral is "bacterial SSU rRNA". It matches the Rfam family "Bacterial small subunit ribosomal RNA", at positions 934 to 1431 of the family's 1533-position model. The record is from RNAcentral. Lineage: Bacteria; Bacillati; Actinomycetota; Actinomycetes.